RNAcentral lists this ribosomal RNA (272 nucleotides) under Salmonella enterica. Its description in RNAcentral is "partial 23S ribosomal RNA". It matches the Rfam family "Bacterial large subunit ribosomal RNA", at positions 1490 to 1757 of the family's 2925-position model. The record is from RNAcentral. Lineage: Bacteria; Pseudomonadati; Pseudomonadota; Gammaproteobacteria; Enterobacterales; Enterobacteriaceae.
GCCGGGCGACGGUUGUCCCGGUUUAAGCGUGUAGGUGUGUGUUCCAGGUAAAUCCGGUUCACUUUAACACUGAGGCGUGAUGACGAGGCACUACGGUGCUGAAGCAACAAAUGCCCUGCUUCCAGGAAAAGCCUCUAAGCAUCAGGUAACAUCAAAUCGUACCCCAAACCGACACAGGUGGUCAGGUAGAGAAUACCAAGGCGCUUGAGAGAACUCGGGUGAAGGAACUAGGCAAAAUGGUGCCGUAACUUCGGGAGAAGGCACGCUGACAC